AGUGAACGCUGGCGGUAGGCCUAACACAUGCAAGUCGAACGGCAGCACAGUAAGAGCUUGCUCUUACGGGUGGCGAGUGGCGGACGGGUGAGGAAUACAUCGGAAUCUACUUUUUCGUGGGGAUAACGUAGGGAAACUUACGCUAAUACCGCAUACGACCUACGGGUGAAAGCAGGGGAUCUUCGGACCUUGCGCGAUUGAAUGAGCCGAUGUCGGAUUAGCUAGUUGGCGGGGUAAAGGCCCACCAAGGCGACGAUCCGUAGCUGGUCUGAGAGGAUGAUCAGCCACACUGGAACUGAGACACGGUCCAGACUCCUACGGGAGGCAGCAGUGGGGAAUAUUGGACAAUGGGCGCAAGCCUGAUCCAGCCAUACCGCGUGGGUGAAGAAGGCCUUCGGGUUGUAAAGCCCUUUUGUUGGGAAGGAAAAGCAGCAGGUUAAUACCCCGCUGUUCUGACGGUACCCAAAGAAUAAGCACCGGCUAACUUCGUG
Molecule: ribosomal RNA, 491 nt
Filed under: uncultured bacterium
Lineage: Bacteria
Description: partial 16S ribosomal RNA
Rfam family: Bacterial small subunit ribosomal RNA
Source: RNAcentral